GGCCAGGUGCCCGAGUGGUUUAGGGAGAGGUCUGCAAAACCUUUCACAGGGGUUCAAUUCCCCUCCUGGCCUCAA
Molecule: transfer RNA, 75 nt
Filed under: Candidatus Liptonbacteria bacterium CG11_big_fil_rev_8_21_14_0_20_35_14
Lineage: Bacteria; Candidatus Liptoniibacteriota
Description: tRNA-Cys
Rfam family: tRNA
About the family: Transfer RNA (tRNA) molecules are approximately 80 nucleotides in length.
Source: RNAcentral